This is a long non-coding RNA of Carassius gibelio (silver crucian carp), 554 nucleotides long. RefSeq lists it as uncharacterized. NCBI's taxonomy places the organism in Eukaryota, Metazoa, Chordata, Actinopteri, Cypriniformes, Cyprinidae. The transcript is spliced from 3 exons. The record is from RefSeq and is a predicted model, not a curated record.
CGGACUCAAUAUUGACUUCAGGAGAGGUGACUGAUAGAGCGGUGUAAACGCUUUACCGGCGGGUUGGGGUACUGCAUCUGAUACUCACGAGGUCAUGAGAGUACAAAGCUCUUUCUAUCUAUCGGACUGGUGAGAUUGUCCACUCAUCUAUUGCCAGCGAGAGCUCUCUGCAUUUCAUGGUUAUUUUGAAAGGUAUUGCCCCUGCACUUGAGCAAACUUUUCUUAUGUGGCAUGUGUGCAGAAGAUAAUACACACAUCUUAAGAAGUAACAGAAGAAAGUAACAGGAUCAGGUGAGGCCCUGAAGCACUGGCUGCAGUCAGUAAAUGAUGAUAAGGGGGCUGGCCGGUUUUGUAGCUCAUAUACACAGAUACAGUCAAGGCCAAAAGUUUGUGAACACCCUGUAUUUUGCUGGGACUAUACUGGACCCGUGUCUCUAGGCCAUGAAGAUCAGCCUUUCUCCUGUUUUAAUUGUAUAUAAUAAAGUCUACGAGACAGACUCUUUUAAUUUUUUGUUAUUAUCUUUGCUCAAACUAGCAGUAACGCUAGAUGGCUU